Molecule: ribosomal RNA, 253 nt
Filed under: uncultured bacterium
Lineage: Bacteria
Description: partial 16S ribosomal RNA
Rfam family: Bacterial small subunit ribosomal RNA
Source: RNAcentral
UACAGAGGGUGCAAGCGUUAAUCGGAAUUACUGGGCGUAAAGCGUGCGUAGGCGGUUAUGUAAGUCAGGGGUGAAAUCCCCGGGCUUAACCUGGGAACUGCAUUUGAGACUGCAUAGCUAGAGUACGGUAGAGGGGGAUGGAAUUCCGCGUGUAGCAGUGAAAUGCGUAGAUAUGCGGAGGAACACCGAUGGCGAAGGCAAUCCCCUGGGCCUGCACUGACGCUCAUGCACGAAAGCGUGGGGAGCAAACAGG